RNAcentral lists this microRNA precursor (82 nucleotides) under Cricetulus griseus (Chinese hamster). RNAcentral describes it as "miRNA (ENSCGRG00001001404.1)". Lineage: Eukaryota; Metazoa; Chordata; Mammalia; Rodentia; Cricetidae. The record is from RNAcentral.
UUGUUUUUGUCUCAAAAAACAAACAAACAGGGCUGGAGAGAUGGCUCAGAGGUUAAGAGCACUGACUGCUCUUCCAGAGGUC